UACGUAGGGUGCGAGCGUUAAUCGGAAUUACUGGGCGUAAAGCGUGCGCAGGCGGUCUGUUAAGACCGAUGUGAAAUCCCCGGGCUUAACCUGGGAACUGCAUUGGUGACUGGCAGGCUUUGAGUGUGGCAGAGGGAGGUAGAAUUCCACGUGUAGCAGUGAAGUGCGUAGAGAUGUGGAGGAAUGCCGAUGGCGAAGGCAGCCUCCUGGGCCAACACUGACGCUCAUGCACGAAAGCGUGGGGAGCAAACAGG
Molecule: ribosomal RNA, 254 nt
Filed under: uncultured bacterium
Lineage: Bacteria
Description: partial 16S ribosomal RNA
Rfam family: Bacterial small subunit ribosomal RNA
Source: RNAcentral